Long non-coding RNA from Callithrix jacchus (white-tufted-ear marmoset), 1760 nucleotides. RefSeq lists it as uncharacterized. The record is from RefSeq and is a predicted model, not a curated record. Lineage: Eukaryota; Metazoa; Chordata; Mammalia; Primates; Cebidae.
CUGUUGCGCUGUGCUCUCUUCCCCAAGCGAGAGGCCUGGGGAUGGAGGAACUCAGAGAUCACUCGCUUGUGAAUACAGGGAAAAGAACUCUUUUUUACCGCAAGGAUUUAAUGUGAUGUUGAUGGACACUUUUCCUCAAUGUGUAAUACAGAGAGAACAGCUUCGCUCUUCUCUCCCACACUGCUAGUUGCCGGGAGAGUAAAUGAAGUCAUGUCUGGAAAGUGCCCCGAGCUCUUCAGAGAAGAACCUAGAAGUGGGGGCACGUGCCAUUGCCCUGAAUCUGGAGCAAUCGUUAAGUUUUUAGAAUGAACCGAAAAGCUCGGUUUUCGGAAACCGAAAUGUUUCAAGUAUUGUGUUUGAUUUGCACAUCUUCAGUUUGAUCCUUAACAACAUGUUUGCUGUGAUUCCAGGAAUUUUGUGAUCUUACUUCAGUGUUGACAUUUUACAUCCUUCCCAGGACUGUAAGUACUCUUUAAGGAAUGUGUGGUUAAUGUAGUAGAGAGAAAAACCCCAAAUCACACUGCAUCCGAGAGCCAAGAAGUCCAGCCUUUUUAUUGGCUUCCAGUACUGGCAUUAAAUAAACAUGAGUCGUUUUUCUGGAAACACCUGUCAACCUUAAACAUGCAAGGACAAAGCCAGAAUCUUUGAGGCUCACUGAAUAGCUAACUCAGACAUCGUUUCUCUUCUCCAAAGAUUGUGAUUGUUUGCUUAUUUUUUUCAUACAAUUUCUUAGACUAGGCUUUCACCAAAAAUAAAAGCUAAAUAUGAUGCAUCAUGGGCAGAGAAUUCUUAAUCCAAAUCCCCAGAGAUUACCUGACUUGAUUAUUCCACAUACUCUGUAUUCUCAACCAAAAUAGACUUCUUUUUAAAGAGAAUCCAAUUUCCAAUGGAUUUAACCUAGAAAAACAGCAAAAAGCUAAUAAAAGCUCGGAGGCUCGUCCAAGGAAAGCAUUGUGGCUGCUACACGUUGGGAGUCUUGAUCUAGUGGAGAGGUUUGGAAAAGCUGCCAAUUCCUCUAGUGAAUUUGCUGUUCUCUGGGAUGUGGGAUGGGGCACCUGGUAGACUCCUAGUAAAUUCUUGACCAGGAAUAAAUUAUGCGGACUGCAUUCCUGUAUUGCCAAAACUUGGCCUAAUUGAGAUAGUGGAGUUGCUAACAGACUUAAUCUUUGGAAAGAAAGAGUGUGAGUGUGGAGACAACUUCUUCAGCUUCUUCCUACUCACUCUUCGCCACCUUUUGUGUUCCUAUUUUGUGGCACAACUGAGAACCGACUUUCUUCAAAGAAACAUAGCUUAAAUGCCUGGAGUAGUGCCUGCAAUUUCCUGUUCAUUCUCUACCAUAGUAUCCUACUCCAGGGGUGUUUUACCAAGAGGUACUUUACCCUGCAAUCACUCUUCAGACCUGAGUUGAUUCUUCAGGCAUCAGUAGCUGGAUAACCUGAGUGGAUUGACUGAAGACAAGGAGCUCAAAGCAAUUAAAAUGAGAGGGUUUAUGGGCUAGAUUUAUAGGACCUACCAUGUCGUAAUGCUUCCCUGAGACCCAAGUUUCACUGGCUGCUUCUCCACAUCUUACAAAAGUUGAUGACACACCCUGUAGGGACAUGGAUGAAUCUGAAGAACAUCAUCCUCAGCAAACUGACACAAGAACAGAAAAUGAAACACCGCAUAUUCUCACUCAUAGGUGGGUGAUGAAAAAUGAGAACACAUGGACACAGAAAGGGGAGUACUAAACACUGGGGUCUAUUGGGGGGAAAAGGGGAGGG